Molecule: long non-coding RNA, 747 nt
Organism: Papaver somniferum (opium poppy)
Lineage: Eukaryota; Viridiplantae; Streptophyta; Magnoliopsida; Ranunculales; Papaveraceae
Exons: 3
Source: RefSeq, a predicted model, not a curated record
UUCUCUUUUCAUUUUUCAGUUCUCACUUCUCUGAGUCUCCCUCUCGGUUUCUCUUCUCCACCAGAGUUCAGAGUCACUCUUCAAAGAUCAAAUCACCACCAAUACCGCGAUCUCUUCAUCACCAGUAACACCAACAAGGCAACAACGUGAGGUUACCACUUAUCAUGGUUGAAAUCUCAGAAGAUGAUUCUGCUUCAAAUCUUCCAGUUGUACUUGGAAUUGCAUCGCAAAUGGGACCUCCGCCUCAACUUCCACCGCGUUCUGGUCAUGUGCCUGGAUCUGGAGCAUCAGCUGGGCACUUGAGGCCUUAAUUUUAUUACAAAAUUGGUUACGUACUCCGAUUGACAUGGAUUCUUCUAGCCUUGGAGUGUAGGAGGAGGAGAUUGAUAUUCUUGAGUUGGAGCUAUUUGGUGACCUUGCUACUUCUUUCAUCAUCGUAGAUGAUGAUUGAUUCCUAUUGGCUUAGACAAUGUGAUGGUUUAGUUCACUGUUGGGGGUAGAACAUCCAAAUCUUUUGAGGGAGAAUGUUGCAAAUAGUAUGGAUCAACAAUGCACUGUUUUUUUGAGCUUUGAACUCAUUUCUAUGCAAUGUACUGUCUUUUCUCUUUUGAGCUUUGAACUCAUUUCUUGUUACUAUUGUUAGCUUUAUCUUUCUGCACCUUUAAACACUUUUAAUUGCUGCCUAACACUUGGACAUGAGGUCAGCUUUUAUCUUCUUUAAGAGUUAUAGACUAUAGUUAUUGUACA